UAUAAUCAGUUUUAUUGCCAGGUAAGAAAUUCAUAUUAAUAUAGUGAAUACAUGUUUACAAAUAAACAUUUUUAGAAAACAAACAAAUGUCUUUUUUUUUUCUUCAUUGUAGGAAGUAUUAUUGGUAUCAUAAACUCUGCAGUUGUUGACAAGUAUUAACACAGGUUUACUUGCAGAACAUACGGUUACUAAAAUAUUCGCACAUAAAAUAUGCUCCAUUUACACGGAAAACUGGGGAGGGGGGAGUUAGAUGGGGGUACCAGGCAGAGCCCAAGGCGGGAUGGAGGCUGAGAUGCUCUGGGAAGGCGAAAGGAAGUCAGACUCUGGUCCCAUUGGGUUGGAAGUCGGGGAUAGCUAAAGGCAAAAAGUAGAGGCUAGUGCCAGGGCACGGGAUGGGACAGGGACAGCCUCUCUGCUUUGUUCCGGUUUCUCUCUUCUAAGCUCCCCACCAUAGCUACAGGAUUCAUGUUGAUACACGGCAGCCACAGAUCCAUCAGUACCAUGAGUUCCAUCCCCAUCCACCCUCCUGGGAGGAGGCCUAAGAAUAAACCUCCUUGUCCAGCCCCCACCCCCUUGGUCCCAGUUCACCAAGCCAACUGGAAGGUCAUGAGACAGAGAAGUAAUGUCCUCUGCCGUCAUCCUGUCACAUCUUCCUGAGCGUGCUGCAACCUUCCUGCCAACACCCCCCAACUAACAACAAAACUCACUGGAUGAAGUUUACCCAGAAGAGAAGGAACACGGAGGAGGGUGGGGUGGGAAAGAAUUCUGUUGAUUCAGAGACCAAGAAAGGUCCUUAAUCAGCGUUGGGAUAAAGGUCAGAUGAAGUGAGUCCAGUACAAGAGGCAGGAUGAGCCAAAGGGGAAACUAGACUCACAGGACUUUGGAGCUGUAGGGAACCUCACAGAUAAGCAGACCCCGUAUUUCCUGAAAUAUGCGCUGUGCAUCACUGGCAAAUGCAAAACGAUUUGUAGUAGCACGUGGAUCUAGCACUGGUUAACACCGAGUCACAGAGGGAAUGGGUUCCUUUCCAUUCUAUCCGUCCGAUGGAGUCCCUUGGAGUGCAAAGUCUCCACUGGGUGCUGGUAUAUCUUUAACAGCUCUUUAACAAAUCUGCUAAUCUUCUUAAUAAAGAAAAAAGGGAGAGGGAGGAAAGAUGGAAGGGAAGAGAGACAGAGAGAGAGAGACAGAGAGAGCGUGCGAUGAGCCAGCAAAGGCCUGGCUCUGGGUUAACAUCCUUCCACAGGCAACAAUAUCCAGCUAGAGCUUAACGAUUGCCACUCUGUUGCCUUGGUCUUUGUUUUUAUGCUUACUUUUUAUUUAGGGUGAUUGAUACUGCCUUUCUGUUUGACAUGAGGAAAGGAAGUUUUCCUUUUAAGAGUUCAAAGUAUUAAGAGGGAAUCAAUUUAGAUAUUAAAUAUUAGAUAUUAAAUAUUUUGGUGGCAAUACACAAGGAUGCCAAAAGCAGGUACACGGAAAGCUAAUAUCACGGAAACCCUGACCGAAGGGCGGUGUUUACCCCACUCUGGGGAACGCUGGGAUCCCAGCAAAGAGGCUGAGAAAGUGGGCAUUGUAUCCGCCCCCACCCCCACCCCCACCACCAGCUCUGCUUUGUCCAGCGCAGAGCCACCUUCUCAGUGAGGAUCUUCCAGAGUGGCACCUGUGCACGAUUACAUUUUUAAAAAAUGGGCAGAGGUUUUGCCAUUCAGAAAGAUUGAAAGGCUUUCCCCGUGUUUCGGAUGGGAGACUACGGCCCAAGGAGAUAACAUGCAUUGUCAAUGUGCCCCCCAGAUGGAAUGAAAAGAAGAACCCAACCCCGGAUUUCCCUUGCUUCUGUGAUAUCAGAGGAGAGAGACAGGUGAGGCAGCACGCCGCCGGGAAGCCACCUUGGUCGGGAUGCCCAAGGGCCAUCGGCUGGGAGGACCGAUCUGAACAACCACCUCAGGGGGGAUUCUGGUUGGGAGAUGAAUUCUUGGAUGGAUGUAUCUGGGGAGGUAGGUGGCUGGGAGGGCCAUGGAAAUUACAAGAUCCCAAAAUGCUUGGGAGGUUUGGCGGGGGCAGGGGGGGCAGAUAACGCUAGGACUGGGGGUGGGAGGGUGGGGGGUGGGGAGGUCUUCAUCUUUAGGUACCCCCGACAUCGUAGCAGCCCCCUCGGGGUGUGGGAUGGCUGGGCUCACUGACAAAGGAGGAGAGGAACAUCUUCUAUUACUGCAGGAAACAGGACGCGGGGCGGGGGGUGGGGGGCUCAGAGAACACAGGUUGCACUUGGGAAACAAGACUGUCAUUAAACAGUAACACAUUGAAGGCACCACCCACGCUUAUGACAUUUUCAGUCCAAAGCAGUUGAAAUUUGGCAGCGGCGGCGGCAACGGGCUGAGGGGGGUCGGGGAGAGAUGGGUAAGAGAGGACUGGUUUCUGCGUCUGUUUCUUGUCUUGGAGGCAAGGCGGGAAAUGCGGGGUGUCCCCUUCUCACCUCUUGUCGACUUUCCAGCUGUGGAGUAUGUUUUUGUUCUGAUGUCAUUGUUUCCUAAGUCCCAAGGAUUCUGGGCAAAAAUGAAUUUGCUGUUUUUGUCUGUUUUGUAGUGGGCUUGUCUUUGUUUCUCUUCUUCUUCUUCUUGUUCUUUAAAGUUAUUUAAUACUCUCUGGACCCUCUGCCCGCUGCAGAAGCCUACUAUCCUUGCCAUGUACAUUGUCAUGGUCUUUACAGGACUUCUCUAAAAUGCUCUUUCUUUCUCAUCACUGCCAGUGGGUUCAGGGUCUAUUGACUUUUUGUGAGUUUGAGUGUGUGUGUGUGUGUGUGUGUGUGUGUUUGCUUCCAACAUUGACGAUAUGAAAAGUACUACAAAUAGAAUGGUAGGGGUCCAGUUACUGUCUCACGCUUGGCAAAAUUGUGUGUCCAUGUCACUAUUUCUUGAGAUUAGAAGACACUUAUGCACACAGCAUUCUUCCCAGAGAACUCCUCUUCUCAAGUACGCUCUUCUCUUGUGUCCACCCUCAUGCUCCCCCCACCCCAACCUGGCUCUUUCACCGGAAACAGCGCAUGGUAAAUGGUGUAUGUGCUCAAAUGGACAAUUUCUCUAAGUUGUGCUACUUUUAAUUUUUCAUCAUGGAGUUCAGUUGUAAGUCAGGAGGAAAAGAAAAAUUAGCCCCACGGUGUGGGCGUGUGAGUUGGCCACCUGGGGCCUGAAGUCGAAAGAGCCGUGCCUCAGUUUCUCCUUUGCUGUAUUGCUGAACGUCCCUGCUUCCGUCUUGCUCAGCUGCCCGCUGACAUGUGUUCGGCAUGACCCAAGAAAAGCGUGAUUCUGC
RNAcentral lists this long non-coding RNA (3303 nucleotides) under Canis lupus familiaris (dog). Its description in RNAcentral is "lncRNA (ENSCAFG00000054894.1)". The record is from RNAcentral. Lineage: Eukaryota; Metazoa; Chordata; Mammalia; Carnivora; Canidae.